AUGGACCACGCAUGCGCUGCGGUUCCGGGCGCGCCGUCCGCAUCCACCUGACGACCACUGGCUACGUUUUGUUGGUC
This 77-nucleotide small RNA is filed under the name Xanthomonas arboricola pv. guizotiae. RNAcentral describes it as "sX9 sRNA". It matches the Rfam family "Xanthomonas sRNA sX9". The record is from RNAcentral. Lineage: Bacteria; Pseudomonadati; Pseudomonadota; Gammaproteobacteria; Lysobacterales; Lysobacteraceae.